GCAUGACAAAAUGCGCUCCAUCCCAGCACCAACCCAUAUAGAAUAUAUUAGCAGUCUAAAUAGUACCCUGACGGCUCUAGGACCCAGAGGAGACCACGGAAGCCAUGCGCGUCCAGUUCUUUCUGUAUCGUUUCGCCUCUUGCCUCCUCUACCAUGAUGCAGCAUCUCGGCCGACUGGCUUUAAUGUCGUGCUUCUGUGUGCUGAUAAGCGGACAACUUGAUGACUCCAAAUUUAGCGAAAGACCGUAUGACGUUCUCCAAAAUCAAAAUCUGGUUAUCCUGGGGAGUGUAUUCGGGAUCCUGUUGGUCAUUAUGGUAACAAUGGCUGUCUGUGUUUACAAGCCCUUACCUCGCCGGUGAGCAGCGCGCGCCUCUCCCUACAGCCGCACGAGCCCAGAGCGCCUCUACCUACAGUCGCACGACCCCAGCGCCUGGUGCGCCUCUACCUACAGGCGCACGAGCAGAGCGCCUCUACCUACAGGCGCACGAACCUUUACCUACUACAGGCGCACGAGCACAGAGGGCCUCUGCCUACACCCGCACGAGUCCAGAGAACCUCUACCUACAGGCGCACGAGCCCAGAGCGCCUCUACCUACAGGUGUACGAGCAAAGAGCGCCUGUACGAGCCCAGAGAUCCUCUACCCACAGGCGCACGAGCCCAGAGUGCCUCCGCAUACAGGCACGAGCCAAUAGCCUGGCAAGCUUUUCAUUCUUUACAUCCAUUACACCAAUUCUCACUUUCACCGGAUCUAAGACACUAUAAAGUAUAUUAUUCUUAAUAAACCGUUUGUGAAAGAAA
Gadus morhua (Atlantic cod) is the source of this 800-nucleotide long non-coding RNA. RefSeq lists it as uncharacterized. The transcript has 2 exons. NCBI's taxonomy places the organism in Eukaryota, Metazoa, Chordata, Actinopteri, Gadiformes, Gadidae. The record is from RefSeq and is a predicted model, not a curated record.